AGCAGCCGCGGUAAUUCCAGCUCCAAUAGCGUAUAUUAAAGUUGUUGCAGUUAAAAGCUCGUAGUUGAAUUUCGGGAUUGGCGCAUCGGUCGUGCCUCACGGGGUAUGAACUGGUGCAGUCAAUUUCUCACCUUCUGGAGAACCGCGAUGUCCUUAAUUGGAUGCCGNGGGGAACCAGGACCUUUACUUUAGAAAAAUUAGAGUGUUUAAAGCAGGCAUUUUUGCUUGAAUACAUUAGCAUGGAAUAAUAAAAUAGGACGGCAUGGUUCUAUUUUGUUGGUUUCUAGGACCACCGUAAUGAUUAAUAGGGAUAGUUGGGGGCAUUAGUAUUCAAUUGUCAGAGGUGAAAUUCUUGGAUUUAUUGAAGACUAACUACUGCGAAAGCAUUUGCCAAGGAUGUUUUCAUUAAUCAAGAACGAAAGUUAGGGAUCGAAGACGAUCAGAUACCGUCGUAGUCUUAACC
This 463-nucleotide unclassified non-coding RNA is filed under the name uncultured Acaulospora. RNAcentral describes it as "SSU rRNA". It matches the Rfam family "Eukaryotic small subunit ribosomal RNA", at positions 569 to 1031 of the family's 1831-position model. Lineage: Eukaryota; Fungi; Glomeromycota; Glomeromycetes; Diversisporales; Acaulosporaceae. The record is from RNAcentral.